GCCCAAGUGGUGAAAUUGGUAGACACGCAAGGUUGAGGGCCUUGUGGACGAUUUAGUCCGUGCUGGUUCGAGUCCAGUCUUGGGCA
RNAcentral lists this transfer RNA (86 nucleotides) under Carboxylicivirga mesophila. RNAcentral's name for it is "tRNA-Leu". It matches the Rfam family "tRNA". Rfam says of the family: Transfer RNA (tRNA) molecules are approximately 80 nucleotides in length. Their secondary structure includes four short double-helical elements and three loops (D, anti-codon, and T loops). RNAcentral also lists the same sequence under 2 other names. The record is from RNAcentral. Lineage: Bacteria; Pseudomonadati; Bacteroidota; Bacteroidia; Marinilabiliales; Marinilabiliaceae.